This 201-nucleotide unclassified non-coding RNA is filed under the name Hevea brasiliensis (rubber tree). The record is from RNAcentral. Lineage: Eukaryota; Viridiplantae; Streptophyta; Magnoliopsida; Malpighiales; Euphorbiaceae.
GGGAAUACUAACUGUGCACAAAUUAACGCAGAAAAGGUUGCUUUAUUAAAAGAAUAUGACCCUGCAUAUUAAAUUACAAACAAAGACUUGAAAUUGCUAAUCAUUGGAAGUUUGGAACCUAAUAAUAGAUAAAUGAGAAGUUACAUAAAUUAUGAGAAAAUUUAAGGCAGCUCCUAUUCAACAUAAAUUCAAAAUUCUAAC